CAGUGAAACGUGAGCGGGGAGGGGGGGCUGCUGCUGGCCUUUGUCGGGCACGUGCGCGUCCUUCCUCCCGCGACGCACCAUCCACUUACACCUGUGCACCCGUCGGCGAGCGCCUUUUUGGGUUUGGGAUAUAGGGCCUCGCCGCCCCCUUUUGCAACCGCUCCGAGUACACGCGCAUGUUUGAAGCCCCACGGGGCGAGUCAAUGUA
RNAcentral lists this unclassified non-coding RNA (208 nucleotides) under uncultured Agaricomycetes. Its description in RNAcentral is "sequence contains ITS1". The record is from RNAcentral. Lineage: Eukaryota; Fungi; Basidiomycota; Agaricomycetes.